RNAcentral lists this ribosomal RNA (595 nucleotides) under uncultured Dechloromonas sp. RNAcentral's name for it is "bacterial SSU rRNA". It matches the Rfam family "Bacterial small subunit ribosomal RNA", at positions 43 to 633 of the family's 1533-position model. Lineage: Bacteria; Pseudomonadati; Pseudomonadota; Betaproteobacteria; Rhodocyclales; Azonexaceae. The record is from RNAcentral.
CAUGCCUUACACAUGCAAGUCGAACGGCAGCACGGGAGCAAUCCUGGUGGCGAGUGGCGAACGGGUGAGUAAUGUAUCGGAACGUACCAUUCAGUGGGGGAUAACGUAGCGAAAGUUACGCUAAUACCGCAUAUUCUGUGCGCAGGAAAGCAGGGGAUCGCAAGACCUUGCGCUGAUUGAGCGGCCGAUAUCAGAUUAGCUAGUUGGUGAGGUAAAGGCUCACCAAGGCGACGAUCUGUAGCGGGUCUGAGAGGAUGAUCCGCCACACUGGAACUGAGACACGGUCCAGACUCCUACGGGAGGCAGCAGUGGGGAAUUUUGGACAAUGGGGGCAACCCUGAUCCAGCCAUGCCGCGUGAGUGAAGAAGGCCUUCGGGUUGUAAAGCUCUUUCGGCCGGGAAGAAAUCGUAUGGGUUAAUACCCUGUGCGGAUGACGGUACCGGCAUAAGAAGCACCGGCUAACUACGUGCCAGCAGCCGCGGUAAUACGUAGGGUGCGAGCGUUAAUCGGAAUUACUGGGCGUAAAGCGUGCGCAGGCGGUUUUGUAAGACAGGCGUGAAAUCCCCGGGCUCAACCUGGGAACUGCGCUUGUGAC